CGAAUCACCCCGGCAUUCUCGCUGGCAAACCUGAAGACACGUCAGAAAACCAGCCGAUCGGGGUGGGUCUCAUUGCUAAGGACCUCCGGGAUGUGUUUUCCAGAUCCUUCUGCCAACACCUUAGAGCCUCGCUUAACCUCAGAACCAGCCACAUCAUCCCUAAAAUGAAAUGAGGCUCUCAGGCUACCUUCUCUUAUGGAGCAUCAAUCUGAUCCCAAGAGAAUGUUGGGCUUCUAAGACACUCUGUUUAGAAGUUUGUCUUCUUGGCACAAAAUGGCCUGCUGGGCAAAGAACUCCCCCAUGCCUCUACUGACAGUAUGAACGCUGUCCUUUCUGGACGAGUAGGACACAAGGAAAAUCAACUACUGAACCUUGCCAAGACAGGACUUUCGUGGAUUUCUUGCAUUAGAGACCCCCACACUGAUGUACACCGCAGCACUGUUUGGAAUAGCUCAACUGUGAGCAUGCUACUUGUCCAGAGUACAAGUGAAGAUGACCAGCCCCUCCAGCAGAGCAGAGCACAUCUCUGUUGUGAUGAGCUGUAGCUCUGGGCCCAGGAGCUUGUGGUACAGAGGCUGCCCUUUCCCCUGGGAUAAACAGGGAAAGAAUGGUGGGCAACUCCAGCUUUGCUUUCUUCUCUUUCUUUCUGGACAGUAAAUAAAUCUUAUUACUACUGUG
Long non-coding RNA from Peromyscus maniculatus bairdii (prairie deer mouse), 678 nucleotides. RefSeq lists it as uncharacterized. NCBI's taxonomy places the organism in Eukaryota, Metazoa, Chordata, Mammalia, Rodentia, Cricetidae. The record is from RefSeq and is a predicted model, not a curated record.